Molecule: long non-coding RNA, 731 nt
Filed under: Populus trichocarpa (black cottonwood)
Lineage: Eukaryota; Viridiplantae; Streptophyta; Magnoliopsida; Malpighiales; Salicaceae
Description: long non-coding RNA (PTRI_LNC004005)
Source: RNAcentral
CCUCGUCCAUGUGACUUCUGCACAGAAACCAGUAGCUGAAAAUACACACCUCUUCCUCGUUUCAAAAAGAAAUCGCUAAUAAAUUUGCAUGUUUUGGGACAUUUUACCAGGUAAAGACAAAUGGUGAACAAGCUCAGUCGCUUGCUUUGUGGCUUGUGAUGUCAAUACUUGUCUUCAAAAGAUGAGCACAGUGCUAAAAGCUAAUAGCUUAUUUAUCGAAUGAAGCUUCAGGACGAUUACCAAUUCUGAACCAUCUAAUUAAACUCCCAGCUUCAUAUGGCAGAAUGCUAGCAGCCAACAACCAGAAAUCCUAUCAUUUUGAGAUGUUUUCCGAAUAAAAUAGAAUGUUAAGCAACUUCCAAGUAAACUAAAAAGACAAGAGAGCAUGAAAACACCGAACAGAGCUCGCCGUCAAGAGUUCUAGUUGCAUGAAUGUAAGAAAAUUUCCUUGCAACCCUUUCUGAAACAAGGAUCAAAACUAAGAGGUAAUAAGAGCACGCAAAAAGGAUCAAGAGUUCUAGUUGCAUGAAUGUAAGAAAAUUUCCUUGCAACCCUUUCUGAAACAAGGAUCAAAACUAAGAGGUAAUAAGAGCACGCAAAACCAUAUUUAAACAAAAUUAUACCAAUAUGUGCCUUUCGGGUCUUGGUAAAAUUAGUUUUGACAAUUUGGAAGCUAUAAGAAAUACCAUUUUCAUGAUAUUAAGACUUCCAUGAUAGCCGCUAUUUCCUUC